RNAcentral lists this transfer RNA (57 nucleotides) under Ovis aries (sheep). It matches the Rfam family "tRNA", at positions 8 to 63 of the family's 71-position model. Rfam says of the family: Transfer RNA (tRNA) molecules are approximately 80 nucleotides in length. Their secondary structure includes four short double-helical elements and three loops (D, anti-codon, and T loops). The record is from Rfam by way of RNAcentral. Lineage: Eukaryota; Metazoa; Chordata; Mammalia; Artiodactyla; Bovidae.
UGGCUCAGAAGUUAAAGCAUUUACCUGCAACGUAGGAGACCCAGGUUCAAUACCUGG